UCUAGAUGUAUUACUACUGAUUUGCUAAAUAUAUCAGAUUAGUUUACAUUUAGAAUUGUUUCAGGUUCUCUGUGUCCUACUACUUCAGAAUGCUGGGCCGAAAUCUAAGGAUGUCUCUGCAUGUUCCUCUUUUGUAAAAGGGAGAGAUUAAGUAUCAAAUUCUAAACAGUAUUAUCAAGGAUUCGAUUCAGCUUUUAUCUCAGUUAAAGUAAGUAGUCAAACAAGUUCUCCUGGUUCUGUUCACAUUGAUAAUUUGGAUAAGUAAAGCUUUCAUGGCCCAAGACAUUGGUCAAUAAGUGGUUGAAUAUCAAGUGCAAAACUGAUAACUUUCAAGCAGAUGAUGAUGUCCUUUAUCAAGGUAAUUGACCAAUUUUUCACAUGGCUUCAAUGCAAUCUAGGACUCUAGAAUUGGGAUUCUUAGCUUUCAUUUAAAAAUAUUGUUUUUUAUUUACUUUUUAAAUGGCUAGACUAGUUAACUAUACAUAUAUCUUUUCAAUAAUACACCCUCAAUUCUGUUUAGCUUUUGUGAGCAAUGUUCUUUUCUUUUCUUUCUUUGUUUAUUUAAUUUACCCUUAGUUAUGUUGUUUUCCAGCUUCCAUGGUUUUUCCUACCAUUAUUGGUACCCCCAAAAAAAGUUUUUUGUUUUGUUUUGUUGUGUUGUGUUUGAUUGAGUGACAUGAUUAAAUAACAGUGGAAAGAGCACAUUUUUAUUUACUUUAUGGUUUUUCCUUUUGCAUUUGGGAUAUUGGUGCAAAAUUGAUAUAUCUAUCUCAAUUCAUUUUUAAUUUUACAAUUUAGGUUGAUGAUUCUCACUUUACUCUUUGAGACAACGCCGUUUUUUCCUUUUGCACUUGAAAUUAAGCUAAUUGGCAUGAUUUUGUGAAUUUAGCAUUCAGCUUUAAUGAGAAUAAUAGAAAAGUAACAAGUUUGUUUUCUUGUAUUUUUAAUCUUUAAUCUGAUACUUGCAAUUGGAACAUGUGCUUCAUUUGUUGUUCUUGCCAGGCAGACUUUUCAGAAUUCAUUCGGUUCUAUGAUUUUGUUUUCUUCAUGUGUCGUGAGAAUGGUCAAAAGAAUAUUUGUAAGUAGCCCGGUCAUUUCCUUCAAAAUAAUCUUGUAUUGAUUGCGUAUGGUGGUGAAUCAGUAUGCAAAAUCCUUACAUGCUUCUCUUUUUGAAUUAUGAUAAUCUGCAGCUGUAAGCAGAGCAGUAACUGCUUGAAAAUUAGUUCUUGCUGGGAAUGAACAAGGGAAUGAACACUGAUACAAUUGUUAAGGCCAAUAGUUUUUUUGAUGGUGAUGAAGAUCAGCAUGAAAGAUGUGUUUGAGAAGAAUUUGAAGGUGCUUCAGAAUAUUUUUUAGUCAUUAUGCCAAGAUUAGAAGAUUAAUGAUUUUUUGUUUGUUAAGUUCUUUUCGGAUAUAGAGUGCAAACUUUGCAUUUUAAUUGAUAUGUGAUACAAGUUUCAUGUGACUUAAAUUAUCUCUUUUUAA
This is a non-coding RNA of Arachis ipaensis, 1485 nucleotides long. The record is from RefSeq and is a predicted model, not a curated record. NCBI's taxonomy places the organism in Eukaryota, Viridiplantae, Streptophyta, Magnoliopsida, Fabales, Fabaceae.